RNAcentral lists this transfer RNA (88 nucleotides) under Candidatus Sumerlaeota bacterium. RNAcentral's name for it is "tRNA-Ser". It matches the Rfam family "tRNA". From Rfam's summary of the family: Transfer RNA (tRNA) molecules are approximately 80 nucleotides in length. Their secondary structure includes four short double-helical elements and three loops (D, anti-codon, and T loops). Further hydrogen bonds mediate the characteristic L-shaped molecular structure. tRNAs have two regions of fundamental functional importance: the anti-codon, which is responsible for specific mRNA codon recognition, and the 3' end, to which the tRNAs corresponding amino acid is attached (by aminoacyl-tRNA synthetases). tRNAs cope with the degeneracy of the genetic code in two manners: having more than one tRNA (with a specific anti-codon) for a particular amino acid; and 'wobble' base-pairing, i.e. permitting non-standard base-pairing at the 3rd anti-codon position. Lineage: Bacteria; Candidatus Sumerlaeota. The record is from RNAcentral. RNAcentral also lists the same sequence under 1 other name.
GGUGGAAUGGCCGAGUGGUUUAAGGCAGCGGUCUUGAAAACCGCCAGGGUGAAAGUCCUCGUGGGUUCAAAUCCUACUUCCACCGCCA